Molecule: non-coding RNA, 327 nt
Organism: Pelobates cultripes (western spadefoot toad)
Lineage: Eukaryota; Metazoa; Chordata; Amphibia; Anura; Pelobatidae
Source: the annotation of a GenBank genome assembly
GGGUCCCAAUACACUGAGCAUCCAUCUGAUAUCCUUCUACAUCUCGGUUUCUUCCUCAUGCUCCAUCUCUGUAUUGCUGGUUCCAUCGCUCUGUAUUAAUUCUGCAAUUAACGUGGCUUUUGUCUUGUUACUUGCCACUACACCUCGAGCUUCCAGUAAAUCCUUUAGCGUGGUUCUCUUAAGUAGCUGAUAUUGCUGAGCCAUUCCCUUGCUUGGUUCAGGACGUCCAUUUGGGAUUUGAAUCCCUCCGCUUGCCACCAGUUGUAAGGAAACCAAGUAUAUUCAAACCUCAUAUGGUAGUUUCCUCCCGAACCGCCAGAACCUUAG